AGGAUGAACGCUGGCGGCGUGCCUAACACAUGCAAGUCGAACGUCCUGUCUCGCAAGAGGCAGGGAGUGGCGGACGGGUGAGUACCACGUGGGUUAUCUACCGUGAGGUGAGGAAUACCGGCGAGAAAUCGCCGACAAGACCGCAUAGCCUCGGUGCAAGCCGAGCAAAGCUCUUUCGAGAGAGGGAGCGCCACACGAGGAGCCUGCGCCCGAUUAGCUAGCUGGUGGAGUAACGGUUCACCAGGGCGACGAUCGGUAGCUGGUCUGAGAGGACGAUCAGCCACACUGGGAUUGAGAACGGCCCAGACUCCUACGGGGGGCAGCAGUGAGGAAUUUUCGUCAAUGGGGGCAACCCUGAACGAGCAACGCCGCGUGCAGGAAGAAGGUUUUCGGAUCGUAAAACUGCUUUUCUCGGGGAAGAGAACGGGCGGUACCCGAGGAAUCAGCCCCGGCUAACUACGUGCCAGCAGCCGCGGU
This 477-nucleotide ribosomal RNA is filed under the name uncultured bacterium. Its description in RNAcentral is "SSU rRNA". It matches the Rfam family "Bacterial small subunit ribosomal RNA", at positions 26 to 521 of the family's 1533-position model. The record is from RNAcentral.